UACGUAGGGACCGAGCGUUGUCCGGAUUCAUUGGGCGUAAAGAGCUCGUAGGCGGCUGCUCAAGUCGAAUGUGAAAACUCGAGGCUCAACCUCGAGCCUGCAUUCGAUACUGGGCGGCUAGAGUCUGGUAGGGGGAUCUGGAAUUCCUGGUGUAGCGGUGGAAUGCGCAGAUAUCAGGAGGAACACCGGUGGCGAAGGCGGGAUCCUGGGCCAGUACUGACGCUGAGGCGCGACAGCGUGGGGAGCAAACAGG
RNAcentral lists this ribosomal RNA (253 nucleotides) under uncultured bacterium. RNAcentral describes it as "partial 16S ribosomal RNA". It matches the Rfam family "Bacterial small subunit ribosomal RNA", at positions 524 to 776 of the family's 1533-position model. The record is from RNAcentral.